UCCUUCGUGGUGUAAGUGGUAGCACAACAGACUCUUAAUCUGUUAGGUCAGUAUUCAAGUCCCUGCGAGGGGACCA
This 76-nucleotide transfer RNA is filed under the name Gammaproteobacteria bacterium. RNAcentral describes it as "tRNA-Lys". It matches the Rfam family "tRNA". From Rfam's summary of the family: Transfer RNA (tRNA) molecules are approximately 80 nucleotides in length. Lineage: Bacteria; Pseudomonadati; Pseudomonadota; Gammaproteobacteria. The record is from RNAcentral.